Molecule: ribosomal RNA, 254 nt
Filed under: uncultured bacterium
Lineage: Bacteria
Description: partial 16S ribosomal RNA
Rfam family: Bacterial small subunit ribosomal RNA
Source: RNAcentral
UACGAGUGCCUCGAGCGUUAUCCGGAAUCAUUGGGCGUAAAGGGUGUGUAGGUGGUUAUGUUAGUCUCGCGUAAAAUGCUUCGGCUCAACCGAAGUUCCGCGUGGGAAACGGCAUGACUUUGAGGACGGGAGAGGUCUCUGGAACUCAUGGUGUAGCGGUGAAAUGCGUAGAUAUCAUUUGGAACGCCAAUGGUGAAAACAGGUAGCUGGGGCUGUGCUGACGCUGAGACACGAAAGCCAGGGGAGCAAACGGG